RNAcentral lists this long non-coding RNA (2237 nucleotides) under Triticum aestivum (bread wheat). RNAcentral describes it as "long non-coding RNA (TAES_LNC009274)". The record is from RNAcentral. Lineage: Eukaryota; Viridiplantae; Streptophyta; Magnoliopsida; Poales; Poaceae.
GUUUGUAUGCAGUGUUGGUAGAGCGAAAUGUGUCAAUGCCACGAUAACAUCCACAUGUCCACCGUCAUGCCUCCGCGGCUCCUCCUGUCAACCACGCGCCUCUACCAGCGGUUGUGCCAGCAAGAAUACCCUGUGGGGACAUUAGAAAUCUGUGGGGUCAAUCUUCUCAAGUUACAAGGACUAAUGCGUAAAAUUUAGAAAAACAAAGGGGUGCUAUAAAAAAGCUAUGGGUUACCUGACCCCACGGCUUACAUGUAGGUUCUGCACUGGCCUCUGCCAUGGCGUGUCCCCACCUUCCUCGUCGCGCCUUCUCAAGUAUUCCCAAGAAGAUAACAACAAUAACGGACUGUUUCAGUAUUAUAAACUUAAUAUUAAUAUUAUUCGACAGACGUUCAAACUUGCACACAAAUCAUGUAAUGCAAAACUACUAAUGCCAGCUUAAUAAAAUGGCUCCGCUGCAUCAUACAUGGCAAAUUAAAGAUCAUGCUUGGUCACUUGAGAUGGCACAAUGGAAUAGGAAGAUUUUACAAAAUGAAAAGGCAAUCUCUUCAAUUCUUAAAUUAGCAGCAUUUCAAUAUUUGCAGCUGUUGAAAACUUGGUUGUUAUUGUCCUACAGUCAAUAUACAACUUCAUAUUAAAGAUUACUUACUUGGUGAGCGAUUAGCUAGAUUACCUACUGGUGAGCGGUUAGCUAAAUUAGUGACGGCGGUUUUUAACACUCCCAAGUUCAAUUUAGUGUGAACGAUGAUAGAUUGGUGAAAUUUUAUCAUCCUGAUAUAAAAUGCAGGUUCGGACACUUUGUAGCAUAGUUACCAAGGUGAGUUGUGUCACAGGACAUUCUUUUUGAAGUGUCUAAUUAUAUAUGAACUUAAUCAUGGUUGAAGAACAUUGCCAUGCCUCCCAAAAGUUUAGAAGUUAUUAGGAAUGUAGUGCAAUUACUAAUUAGCCAUGCCGUGUUCUAGCAUAUAAGGAAAUUGUUUUUGUCCAGUAUGUAGUACUGGAACAAGUAGUGUUUGGAAGCAUAUACAUCAAAUAAAAAUAGUUGAAGGCCCAACGAUAAUUUCAUACCUGUGGCAGAGGCAUCGCUUCAACAAACAGUACUACUAAUGAACAUUGCAAUAUUUGUUCAUAGUACAUAAUCCUUGUACGUCAGAAACCAGAAACUUUGUGUCAGUGUGUUUCAUGAGAAGAGGAAGCCAAUCCGUCCUAUUCCUAGCACAACAGCAAAUCAAAGGGAAGCAUGCUUUACAUGGCAGACGUUCCAGGUAAGAGAAGAAAAUCUAAUAUGAUACUUAUCUAACUGUAUGAAUACAUUAGAAAAUAUCAUUUCCAAUUCAGAAUUUACCAUCCAGAAAUCACAACCCUCCAUUACUACUGCCAGCAUCAUGCCAUUAACUAGUUCUGCAAGUCCAGUUGAUCAUAAUCCUUCGUGGCAACAAGGAGGGCCAAACGUUUAUGUUCUGGCAGUAGAUAUCACUACCAUGACCAUUGCCUCAAUGACUAACUUCCAGGUUCAGUAUUGCAGGUCCUCAUAUAUGCCAUCAAGAUGAUCAGAAGACAUAUAACCCUGCAAACAAAAGCAAUUUUGUAUUGUUGCAUAGUACCUUUCAGGGAUAAAGAGAACUAUAAUCAAUUAAGUCGUCCCUUAGACAAUAUAACUUUCGUCACACAAGGGUGACAUACAGCAGAAAAAAAAAUCAGUUGGCUCAUUUCAACAAGCAUUUAUCAUAAUCAAACCAGCAACAUAGGAUCACCAAAUUUGAGAUUCUUUUUUCAACCGCAUAAAACAAACAUCAAUAACUGAAUUUCAUUUAAGUAUUGCACAUUGCAGGAUAAAAAGAAAAAGGAAACGGGUAUUACACAUUAUAAACUCACCUUCUUUGUAUCUGUUGGCGGGUUGCUUGACCAAAUUUAGUAAUAUGCAUGCCAACAUGUCAAAAACGUUGAGCACCAAUAAAGCAAAGAAAACCAUAGGUAGAAGAUAAAUCAAUAUACUUCAUUCAUAUGCACUAAAUGCAUUGUAAAAAGGUACAAGUACUGAAAUGGAAUCAAAAAAACAGAAAUAAGAUUUGCAUAAUGGAGUGAGAUAUGAUUACGUUAGUGAUGUUUAAGAAAGCGACCAGAGCUUGUAGAGUUAGUCGUUGAGUUUUGCUUCUCUACCACAGCAGCUCCGUCACGCGCGAGGUUCUUGCUCUGGUACUGCUGCCCAUGCACUCUGCAACUUAGCCUUCGACAAU